Molecule: non-coding RNA, 500 nt
Organism: Castor canadensis (American beaver)
Lineage: Eukaryota; Metazoa; Chordata; Mammalia; Rodentia; Castoridae
Source: RefSeq, a predicted model, not a curated record
UCAGAAGGGGGCGGGGGCGGGUGGGCUCGUAUUUCGAGCGCGACCCCUCAGUCUCUGCGUAGGGGGGAGGGGUUGCACGACGGGGUGACAGCUGCGCGGUUGACACCCCUCCCCCUUGGGCGCAGGGGGCGGGGGCCCCGCGAGCCCCCCCACGGAGAUCUGAGUACCGAUAAGGACGCGGUGGCAGGUGGACCAGGGGGUCCGUUUGGAAGCGUCUGUCCUGAGCCGCGAGAGGUCAGGAGACAAGACGCGGGUUCGGAGAUGUGCCAGCCCCCUCCCCGCCCGGGGGCGACGCAAAGUUUUGGGAAGUUGCUGCCCCUACCUUGCUUGGAAUGCUGACUGCACCACUGCCACUGCCGUUGGGAAGCCUUCCAGAUGCCCACUCUCAUCUGAGGGUGUUGCCUACUCUCAUCUACAAACUCUGCUGGAGCACCUUGUCUGGGUUUCUGAGUCUGUUUGUCUAUUGGAUUCCCAACUAGAAGGUUAAGUCUCUCUGCCUG